Small nucleolar RNA from Mercurialis annua (annual mercury), 114 nucleotides. The record is from RefSeq and is a predicted model, not a curated record. NCBI's taxonomy places the organism in Eukaryota, Viridiplantae, Streptophyta, Magnoliopsida, Malpighiales, Euphorbiaceae.
UACAAGUAUGUGUACCUGCAAUAAAUAUAGACCAAUAGUAAAUUGUAUGUAGUAGGCUUUAGAUGGACAUCUUAUGAGUAACAGCUUGCCCAUAAAAGAACCUACUUUAUAUGU